Ixodes scapularis (black-legged tick) is the source of this 1475-nucleotide long non-coding RNA. RefSeq lists it as uncharacterized. Lineage: Eukaryota; Metazoa; Arthropoda; Arachnida; Ixodida; Ixodidae. The transcript has 4 exons. The record is from RefSeq and is a predicted model, not a curated record.
CCUCACCAGUGUUUCCUGCCCGUGGUCGUUCUAAAUUUUUUUGUUGUGGGUGCGCUCGCAGCACAAAUCUGGGUUGUGCUGAUCCUGUACGCACAAGUUAGGAACUCCUGAGUGGCAAGAGUGGGAGUUCGGUCUGACUGCUCAAGGGACACCGUUUUUCAGGUAUGUCUCUGGGUAAUGGAAUCAUCACACUGGAUGACUUGCAUUGAACAGAGCAGUCAUAAAUGGCGUACUGACCAAAGCCCUAAAAAUAUUUGGGAUUUUUUGCUGCCCUCGUGGCCGCUCUGCUGCUGCCGGGACUCGGAACAGCAUCCGCUUCGCCCACGAUCAACGCUGACAGUGCAGCUAAAGCCCUCUACGUGUGUAUAACGAACUGCUUCUAACACUAUCGAUAAGAAAUCUGCUUCAACCAGCUGCUUCUUACGUCAUCCGCUCUCCUGGGGCUCAGCCACCUACAAAAGGAGUCGUCCCCAUUUCAACUGCGCGAUUUGCAGUCAAGUUGUCAUCGUAGCUAAACCUGUCGUGAACUUCUUCCAGGUAGGUUUUACGCUGUAAUUUUUUUUUUCGGUUGCAAACUUUUUAGGGUGUGAACAUUAUGGGCGUUGAUGUCCAAAUGUACCGAGUGCGCAUUGGUCGAUUUUCAAAUAAAUAAAAACAAAGGUUGCACCACGUACCACCAGGACGUUGCAAUAUUUCCUGUCUUUGUUCGUUUGGUUGCUUAAGUUGUUUACUGUCGCAACCGUUAUGCUGGCGUUGCUUUCCACACCCGGGGAAAUUGAGACAAACCCUGGCCCUCUGACUUCCGAAGAAAAAAUGAACAAGUUGCAAGGUGCUAUCGAGGCAUUAACAAACGACUUCUGCUCGCUACCAACAAGAAAGCUCGCAGAAGCUAGGCGCAAUCAAUGGCGGGAUUGCCAAUUUCGGGUUACGGGUUCGUUGACCUUUGCCUUGAAGGCAAAAGUCAACGAAAUCACCAGGGUAAAAAAAAAAUGUUGCUACCCUUGCCAAAACGCUGGCUGAUGUUCUGCAUGAGCCCGCGAUUGUGCAUGAUCUCAGGACUUUGCUUACCGAAGGUCUUGACGACAUGAGAUAGCGAAUGCGGAAAAACAACUUUAUUCAGAAGGGCUUGUCCGAAGGUGAAAACGAGUCGUGGAGUGACACAGAGUCGUUGGUUUCGAACUUCAUAAAAGAAACAUCACUGAGAAAGAGCUCAUCGGCUUAAUCAAAGGUGAACCGGUUCGACCCGGCCGGUUAUUGUCAGGCUCCUAAGCUCUAUGACCAAAGAUGAGAUCCUACGAAAUGCUCGCAAACUAAAAAAAUGUGUUGUCUCCGAGAGUUUGGAUCUUUGAGGAUUUUCACUCAACGUGGAAUUCGCUAGGCAAACGUUGUGGAACUUUGCGUCCCAAUUUUAAGUUUAUGUUUAUUUCUCUUUCUUCAGAGCAAUAAACUUUCUGUUGUAAGUCAGCGCCCUGUCU